AGGCGGGUGGAUCACUUGAGGUCAGGAGUUUGAGGCCAGGCUGGCCAACAUGGUGAAACUCCAUCUCUACUAAAAAUACAAAAGUUAGCUGGAUGUGGUGGCCUGCACCUGUAGUCCUAGCUACUUGGGAAGAUGAAGCAGAAGAGUUGCUUACCCAGGAGGCAGAGGUUGCAGAGAGCCAAGAUUGUGCCACUGCACUCCAGUCUGGGAGCAAGACAUCAUCUCAAAAAAAAAAAAAAAAAAAAAAAAAAAGAGUUGAACCUGCAUGGUAGCCAUUUUGACAGACUGGGAAGCCUAGCUUCCAGUCAGAAGCCAAAAACAGGCACUUCCAGGGUUGGAAGAAUAAGACAGGGAUUUAUGCUAAACACAGUGGCCAAAUAUACAUGUUAAAUAAACUGUAAGAGGGGUCACGAAUAUUUAUGAAAGGAGCAAUUUGUGCAUGUGCAGUUGAGCUUCAUGCCUCUCUGUGGAUCCCAUGUUUAAAAAAUGGUGGCCUUAGCAUGAUCCAAGGGUAGAGUUUUCUACCGCUUGACUUCAAAAGGUGAAGCAGGGGAUGUGAAAACCCUCACUGCACGUCCUCUGUCGACUGGCCAGAACCACUCCCUGGAUGGUGGGUGAUCUCUUAUCAGGAAGGAAUGCUAGUCGGUUGUUCUAUUGAAACUGCAAAUGGGAGGGUCAGCAUCAGGCUGGUGGAGUGAGUCUUUCAAAAGGGCUGGUUUCUGUUUAACCCUUAGGAAAGAAAAUCUAAUGGCGAUUAUAGAGGGAGGGGUUAUAAAGAGGUGUGUCCGACUUCCCAUCCUGUCAUGAGUAGGAACUCAGCUUCCAAGUUUUUUCUAGGGUCUCCUUGGCCAAGAGAGGGCCUGUUCAGUCAGUUGGGGGGCAUAGAAUUUUAUUUUUAUUUUUCAGUUGACAAAAGUUAACUUAUUGUGAAAGGAACCCAACAACAAAAAGAUAAACCGAAUUUAAAACAAAACAAAACCAAAAAGAACACAAUUUAUAAAUGUGCAAAGGGGCUGGGAGUGGUGGUUCAUGCCUGUAGUCCCAGCGCUUUGGGAGGCUGAGGUGAGUGGCUCGCUUGAGCUCAGAGUUUGAGACUAGCUCUGGCAACAUGGCAAAACUCUGUCGCUACAAAAAAAUGACAAAAAUUAGCUAGGCAUGGUGACACUCACCUGUAGUCCCAGCUACUCGGGAGGCUGAGACAGGAGAAUAGCUUGAGCUGGGGAGGUUGAGGCUGUAAUGAGUUAUGAUCACAUCACUGCACUUCAGCCCAGGUGACAGAGUGAGACCUUGUCUCAAAAAUAAAAUGAAAAAUAUGUAAAGGGCUUGAAUAGAUAUUUCUCCAAAAGAUGGACAAAUGGCCAAUAAGCACAUGAAAAGAUGCUGAACAUCAUUAGUCAUUAGGGAAUUGCAAAUUAAUCACAAUGGGAUACUCAUCAAAAUGACUAAAAGUAAAAAACAAAAAAUCAACAGUUCCAAGUUCUAAUGAGUAUGUGGGGCAAUGGAGCACUUAUACAUUGCUGAUGAAAAUACAAAAUGAUAUAUGCCCUGGUAUGUUUUAGCUCUGUGACUCCACCUAAAUUUCAUCUUGAAGUAUACUCCCAUAAUUCCCAUAUAUUGUGGGAGGGACCCAGUGGGAGAUGAUUGAAUCAUGGGGGUGAUUCCCUGCAUACUGUUCUUGUGGUAGUGAAUAAGUCUCACAAGAUCUGAUGGUUUGAUAAGAGGUUUCCACUUCCGC
This 1735-nucleotide long non-coding RNA is filed under the name Homo sapiens (human). Its description in RNAcentral is "non-protein coding lnc-LHFPL4-6:2". The record is from RNAcentral. Lineage: Eukaryota; Metazoa; Chordata; Mammalia; Primates; Hominidae.